RNAcentral lists this ribosomal RNA (253 nucleotides) under uncultured bacterium. RNAcentral describes it as "partial 16S ribosomal RNA". It matches the Rfam family "Bacterial small subunit ribosomal RNA", at positions 524 to 776 of the family's 1533-position model. The record is from RNAcentral.
UACGUAGGUGGCAAGCGUUGUCCGGAUUUACUGGGCGUAAAGGGCGUGCAGGCGGUCUGUUAAGUCUAGGGUGAAAGCUCCCGGCUCAACUGGGAGAGGUCCUUGGAUACUGGCGGACUUGAGGGAGGCAGAGGAGAAUAGAAUUCCCGGUGUAGUGGUGAUAUGCGUAGAUAUCAGGAGGAACACCGGUGGCGAAGGCGGCUCUCUGGACGGUGACUGACGCUGAGACGCGAAAGCGUGGGGAGCAAACAGG